RNAcentral lists this small RNA (238 nucleotides) under Cohnella phaseoli. RNAcentral's name for it is "BsrG". It matches the Rfam family "BsrG". From Rfam's summary of the family: bsrE, bsrG and bsrH pair through intermolecular interactions with antisense sRNAs. SR4 interaction with the 3'UTR of bsrG RNA promotes bsrG degradation and inhibits its translation. The record is from RNAcentral. Lineage: Bacteria; Bacillati; Bacillota; Bacilli; Caryophanales; Paenibacillaceae.
AACAGUAUAGGCUUUGAGGGCGGUUGGCUAUCUCCCGGAAGGGAGGUAAUGCCAUGGAGGUUAAGGAUGCUUUGGCGCUAAUGAUUUCAUUUGCGACCCUAAUCGUACUUAUACUUUCAUUCUUUAAAAAGAAAUAAACCGCCCUCACCCAAGGCUGCGGUUUAUUUUCAAUCGCUUAUCCGGAAGCCUACCGCCCUUAAAAGCGGCUGUUGUGGGGAGUCGUGUUAGCGCACGGCUC